This 497-nucleotide ribosomal RNA is filed under the name uncultured bacterium. RNAcentral's name for it is "partial 16S ribosomal RNA". It matches the Rfam family "Bacterial small subunit ribosomal RNA", at positions 28 to 507 of the family's 1533-position model. The record is from RNAcentral.
GAUGAACGCUGGCGGCGUGCCUAAUACAUGCAAGUCGAACGAACAGAUAAAGCGCUUGCUCCUUUGACGUGAGCGGCGGACGUGUGAGUAACACGUGUGUAACCUACCUAUAAGACUGGGAUAACUUCGGGAAACCGGAGCUAAUACCGGAUAAUAUUUCGAACCGCAUGGUUCGAGAGUGAAAGGUGGUUUUGCUAUCACUUAUAGAUGGACCCGCGCCGUAUUAGCUAGUUGGUAAGGUAACGGCUUACCAAGGCGACGAUACGUAGCCGACCUGAGAGGGUGAUCGGCCACACUGGCACUGAGACACGGUCCAGACUCCUACGGGAGGCAGCAGUAGGGAAUCUUCCGCAAAGGGCGAAAGCCUGACGGAGCAACGCCGCGUGAGUGAUGAAGGUCUGCGGAUCGUAAAACUCUGUUAUUAGGGAAGAACAUACGUGUAAGUAACUGCGCACGUCUUGACGGUACCUAAUCAGAAAGCCACGGCUAACUACGUG